UACCCUCAUGCACAAGGAAUGACCCUUAAUGACUCAAUCAGUCCUGCUUGAUGUUUCAGCACAGAAGACAGUGCUGUAGAAAGGACAAGUAGACACAAACAAGGGUAGAUCUGUUGGGAGUGGAGGCUGCAGAGAUGCUGGGCAGACAAAGCUCCAAUAAAAUGCCAGACUUGAAAGUAAAUUAAUUCUAGUCCUCACUGCGACUCAGUUUUUCUUGCUACUUGAUAUAUCUGCUUUUGCUAUAGAUUAUAUUCACCUCCAUGUCCCAGACAUAACAUAUUGCUUGUGCAGUAAAGGAGCACUGGGUACCCUCAUGGAUCAACAUAUCAAAUGUAAUGGAUUUGCUUCACUGCUGGGAAGUCUUUCUGCCUCCUCAGAUUUACUCCAACAUUCGCCACAUAAUUCAAAUGAAAUAAACCCAGGUGACCCUGUCUCUAUUGCAUCUGAUUUCCUUGCAUUGCUAGUCUUACAUUUCCGAUUUUACUAAUGUAGUAAUAACCCACCCAAAUAAUUGUAGCAAUGUCUAACAGAUAAAAAAAAAGUUAAAUAUCUCUCUUCUUAUCCCAAAGAUAUUUUGCAAA
Molecule: non-coding RNA, 581 nt
Organism: Taeniopygia guttata (zebra finch)
Lineage: Eukaryota; Metazoa; Chordata; Aves; Passeriformes; Estrildidae
Source: RefSeq, a predicted model, not a curated record